GACGAACGCUGGCGGCGUGGAUUAGGCAUGCAAGUCGAACGGUAUCAUCCUUUCGGGGGUGAGAGAGUGGCGAACUGGUGAGUAACACGUAGGUUAUCUACCCUCAAGACGGGGACAACCCAGGGAAACUUGGGCUAAUACCGGAUGUGAGCAACUUUUAGUUGUUUGAAAGGUGGCGUAAGCUGUCGCUUGGGGAUGAGCCUGCGUCCUAUUAGUUAGUUGGUGAGGUAACGGCUCACCUAGGCAAUGAUAGGUAGGCGGCCUUAAAACGGGUGGUCGCCCACACUGGGAUUGAGAUACGGCCCAGACUCCUACGGGAGGCAGCAGUCGAGAAUAGUCUACAAUGGUCGGAAGACUGAUAGUGCGACGCCGCGUGAACGAUGAAUCCCUUCGGGGUGUAAAGUUCUUUUAUAUGUGAGCAGUGCUUCUUAUAUUAACAGUAUGGGGAGAGAGAUAUUAGCAUAUGAAUAAGCAACGGCUAACUCCGUGCCAGCAGCCGACGGUAAACU
Molecule: ribosomal RNA, 509 nt
Filed under: uncultured bacterium
Lineage: Bacteria
Description: bacterial SSU rRNA
Rfam family: Bacterial small subunit ribosomal RNA
Source: RNAcentral